Cyprinus carpio (common carp) is the source of this 1239-nucleotide long non-coding RNA. RefSeq lists it as uncharacterized. Lineage: Eukaryota; Metazoa; Chordata; Actinopteri; Cypriniformes; Cyprinidae. The transcript is spliced from 4 exons. The record is from RefSeq and is a predicted model, not a curated record.
CUGGAAGGGCAAUGCUUCAGUCACGCACCAGACAUCAUCGCCAUGGAACAGCGGAUUGACACGCAGCCGUCUUUCCACCGUAAACCAUCUCUCAUACGGGCAAACCUCAUGUGCAAACAAACGAAUGACGCCUCUUUUUCAGUUCCGCUGCCGUUGGAUAACACAUUUUUAUGUUGCAAACAUGUGCUGUACGUACGUCUUCGCCAGUGUCUUCAAGGGGUAUUUUAUAGUUCAACGGACCCAGCUGCUUGAUAAUGCGGUAGGGACCUCUCCAUUUUUGGGCUAGUUUUGCGCUAAAUUUACGCUGUGCAUUAGACUGUGGAAAAUUACGCAACCAUACUCGAUCCUUGCAUUUGAAUGUUACAUCUCUCCUAUUUUUGUUAUAGUUCCUCAAUUGUCUAAUUUUGGCUCUCUUGCUGUUUUCCUUCGCUUGAGUUUGCAGAUGAUGAAGAUUAUGAACUACAUCAUACGAGGCAGCGUCUGGGGUUAGAUUAGGCCCAGAGAGUAUUUUGUCCAUUGGACUUUGGAGUUUCCUACCCAGCUGGAGUUCGGCUGGGGUUAAUCCAGUGGUCUCUUGAACGGCUGAAUUAAGGGCGAAUCUGAAUUCUGAUGAAACAAACUGAGUGCCUCUGUCUGAGAGAACGAAGUCUGGUACGCCCCAACGUGUCAGGAUGUCUUUUCUGAAGAUGGAGGCAAUAUUCUUCGCUGUGGCACUCCGAAUGGGAAACAACUCCACCCAUCGAGAAUAAUAAUCAACAAAGACCAGCAGGUAUUCAUUUUGAGUUGUGCUACGUGGCAACGGACCCAUGAGGUCGACUCCCAGCAUUUGGUUUGGGCGGCUUGUGGUGAUUUGCUGUAGCUUUCCCGCAGGCUUCCUGUUAUCACUUUUCAGAGUUUGACAUUUAACACAGGUCCUCACAUGCUGUUUCACCGCUGACCACAUGCCUGGCCAAAAUGCUACUUCCUGAAGUCGCUUAUAGGUCUUGUAGAUUCCUCCAUGGCCACAGAUGGGAGUGGAGUGAUAGUACUGGAGAAGGGUGGAUCUGAGACUGCUGGGAAUGUAGAUUCUGUAAUGCAGUUGGUUAUUUGUCAGGACAACAUCUGAUACAGGCAGUGCUGGGUCUUUUCCGCUGGUGUACAAGUUACAUCCUGGGGUAACCGAAGAUCUGAAUAGAGCAUCUGGAGCUACAUUUAGCUUCCCUUUUCGGUACUCAAUAACAAAAUCAAAUUUUUGCAAUC